RNAcentral lists this ribosomal RNA (898 nucleotides) under uncultured Bacteroidota bacterium. RNAcentral's name for it is "bacterial SSU rRNA". It matches the Rfam family "Bacterial small subunit ribosomal RNA", at positions 43 to 946 of the family's 1533-position model. Lineage: Bacteria; Pseudomonadati; Bacteroidota. The record is from RNAcentral.
CAGGCCUAACACAUGCAAGUCGSGCGGUAUUUGUUCUUCVGGACAAAAAGAGCGGCSUACGGGUGCGGAACACGUGUGCAACCUGCCUUKAUCAGGGGGAUAGCCUUUCGAAAGGAAGAUUAAUACCCCAUAAUAUAUUGAUUGGCAUCAGUUAAUAUUGAAAACUCCGGUGGAUAGAGAUGGGCACGCGCAAGAUUAGAUAGUUGGUGAGGUAACGGCUCACCAAGUCAGUGAUCUUUAGGGGGCCUGAGAGGGUGAUCCCCCACACUGGUACUGAGACACGGACCAGACUCCUACGGGAGGCAGCAGUUAGGAAUAUUGGACAAUGGGUGAGAGCCUGAUCCAGCCAUCCCGCGUGAAGGACGACGGUUCUAUGGAUUGUAAACUUCUUUUAUACUGGGAUAAACCUACCCUCGUGAGGGUAGCUGAAGGUACAGUAUGAAUAAGCACCGGCUAACUCCGUGCCAGCAGCCGCGGUAAUACGGAGGGUGCAAGCGUUAUCCGGAUUUAUUGGGUUUAAAGGGUCCGUAGCGGAUCUGUAAGUCAGUUGUGAAAUCUCAUAGCUUAACUAUGAAACUGCCAUUGAUACUGCAGGUCUUGAGUAAAGUAGAAGUGGCUGGAAUAAGUAGUGUAGCGGUGAAAUGCAUAGAUAUUACUUAGAACACCAAUUGCGAAGGCAGGUCACUAUGUUUUAACUGACGCUGAUGGACGAAAGCGUGGGGAGCGAACAGGAUUAGAUACCCUGGUAGUCCACGCCGUAAACGAUGCUAACUCGUUUUUGGGUUUUCGGAUUCAGAGACUAAGCGAAAGUUAUAAGUUAGCCACCUGGGGAGUACGUUCGCAAGAAUGAAACUCAAAGGAAUUGACGGGGGCCGCACAAGCGUUGGAUUAUGUUGUU